RNAcentral lists this long non-coding RNA (494 nucleotides) under Chinchilla lanigera (long-tailed chinchilla). RNAcentral describes it as "lncRNA (ENSCLAG00000023383.1)". Lineage: Eukaryota; Metazoa; Chordata; Mammalia; Rodentia; Chinchillidae. The record is from RNAcentral.
CCGAGAAGAGUCUCUAUAGUAUGAAGGUUUUUUUUUUUUCAAUAGUUGAAAAUAGAAGCUCAUUUUCUGUUGAGACUGCCUGAAUUAGUCAUGAUAAAAGACUGAACUUGCCAGGAGUUACCAGGUAAAACGAAAUAAUGAAGUCAACAGAAAGAAAUGAAUGAAACUUAAAGAGCAGCGUGGGAGCCCAUGGAUUUAACUGGGCCCUUAUGAGAUGUUUAAUAAACUAGUGUGAAUUGAAUCAAAGAGAAAAGAAAAAUGAAGUUAACACUUGCUGGAUGGAGUUGACCUUAAGUCCUGAGGAAAAUAAUAAAAAAUAACCUGUUAUCCUUUCCGUCUCCUGGCUGGCUUUUGUUUCUUCCAGCAGACAGGAAAAAGGAGUGUCACACUGGAUUGGGAAAGGCAUAGGCAAAGAACGUGAAGAGAAAGGAACAAGCAUAAGAUGAACACAAAUAAAUUGAAAGGUCAGUUUGUGUACCUUAUAGAGAUUUGAG